This is a long non-coding RNA of Onychostoma macrolepis, 854 nucleotides long. RefSeq lists it as uncharacterized. NCBI's taxonomy places the organism in Eukaryota, Metazoa, Chordata, Actinopteri, Cypriniformes, Cyprinidae. The transcript has 5 exons. The record is from RefSeq and is a predicted model, not a curated record.
UUUGCGAGGGCUGUGAAAGGACGCUACUGACUAUUGAACAUAUCAUGCAGUUGUCAGGCUCUCUUCUGGCCCGCAUUCAAUCGGUGAGAGUUCAGAAUGGUUCUCAUCAGUGAGCCAGGUUGGGCUGCCUGCCUCCUCCACUUACUGAAUGCCAUCUAUCUUUAGAGUUGAUGCAAACUCAGCACUCUUUCUCUUGGGACAGACUACACUGGACGUGUUACAUCGCUUCUAAUGAUUGGAAAAUCCGUGUCAGAAACAACGUGAGUGCUUGGAGUACAUCUGUACAUCAGAAAUAUACCGGGCAUCACAUUACUGUCCGCAUCCACUGUAGAUAGUAUAUAUAAUGGGUUCUAUAUUGUUUUUUAUCGUGUCGCGUCUUGCCGCGCCACUCGUGUCCGAGGAAGACACGGAUCCAGCGGGGCAGCGCCGCGGGUUUUUCCCGGGGAUGAACCCGCGAGAGUGGAAGAGCUCCGGAGAACAUCUGCGCUGUGUGUCGAUGCUCCUUAAGAGAUAAUAAGACCAGCAAGCAAGGUGUAUGCAACUGCAAUGAAGCAUCAAGAAAGACAUGAGCAGGCCAGCCACCCUGAGACUGAUAAUACAUGAGAAGACAUGUCAAAGUGGAGGGUGAGCAAAGAUGGUGGCCACCUUUUGGAGCAGCACCUGGGUUUUGCAGAUGGCUAUGUAUUCUUUGGCUGCUUGUCUUUUUUCCCCAUUAUGUUUCUGUUGCCUAAAUAUUCUUUGUGAGGAUGAAUCCAGAGGACACAACAUAAUGCACUGCAAAACGUCCUAAGACAGGAGAAAUGGUGAAGAUGCACUGUUCCAGCAUUGGAAGACUGUAUUUUUAAGUGUUAUAC